AUUGAACGCUGGCGGCAUGCCUUACACAUGCAAGUCGAACGGCAGCACGGGAGCAAUCCUGGUGGCGAGUGGCGAACGGGUGAGUAAUAUAUCGGAACGUGCCCAAUCGUGGGGGAUAACGCAGCGAAAGCUGUGCUAAUACCGCAUACGAUCUACGGAUGAAAGCGGGGGACUCGCAAGGGCCUCGCGCGAAUGGAGCGGCCGAUAUCAGAUUAGCUAGUUGGUGGGGUAAGAGCCUACCAAGGCGACGAUCCGUAGCUGGUCUGAGAGGAUGACCAGCCACACUGGGACUGAGACACGGCCCAGACUCCUACGGGAGGCUG
This 323-nucleotide ribosomal RNA is filed under the name uncultured Pseudomonadota bacterium. RNAcentral describes it as "bacterial SSU rRNA". It matches the Rfam family "Bacterial small subunit ribosomal RNA", at positions 30 to 351 of the family's 1533-position model. The record is from RNAcentral. Lineage: Bacteria; Pseudomonadati; Pseudomonadota.